RNAcentral lists this small RNA (254 nucleotides) under Otolemur garnettii (small-eared galago). RNAcentral's name for it is "Metazoan signal recognition particle RNA (ENSOGAG00000024682.1)". The record is from RNAcentral. Lineage: Eukaryota; Metazoa; Chordata; Mammalia; Primates; Galagidae.
GCUGGGCAUUGUGGUGGGCACCUGUAGUCUCAGCUACUAGGGAAGCGGAGGCAGGAGAAUCGCUUGAGCCCAGGAGUUAGAGGUUGCUGUGAGUUGUGAUGCUAUAGCAGUCUACCCAGGGUCACAGCUUGAGGCUCUGUCUCAAAAAAAAAAAAAAAAAGAGAGACAGGGUCUCAUUUUGUCACCCUUGGUAGAGUGCUGUGAUGUCACAGCUCACAGCAACCUCUAGCUCGGGCUUAGGCAAUUCUCUUGCC